Molecule: long non-coding RNA, 534 nt
Organism: Myotis brandtii (Brandt's bat)
Lineage: Eukaryota; Metazoa; Chordata; Mammalia; Chiroptera; Vespertilionidae
Exons: 3
Source: RefSeq, a predicted model, not a curated record
AAUUAUCAAUUCUUCUAUAAAACAUUCCAUUGGGAAAAUCAACAUAUAUUUCUCAUCAUUACUGAAAUGUAUGAAAAUCUUUGCAAAGACAACCACAAAUUCUUAAGAGAUUCUUCUUGAAAGAGGUAACUAAUUCUUUGCUCUUCUGGUGAUGCCUUCACUGUCAAAUCAUGUUGGGUAAUACAGGCAAAUAUGUAAAGCAAAAAAACCCAUUUCAUCAGUCUAAAGAAGUCCAACAUUAAAAUACCUUUACAGAAGAACAAGAUAUAUAUAUAGAUGGAAAGAUAUAGACAGAUAUGCCAGUAAAAGCUUCCAACUAAUACAAAAUUUGAUAAUAAUACUAACAUCUUAAUUUAAAGCUCUGAAAAACGUAGUAAGCUUAGAGUAAUUUGGAUUAAAAGAAAUUUCAGCCCUGGCCAAGUAGCACAGUUGGUUAGAGCAUCGUCCCCAUACACCAAGAUUGCGGGUUUGAUCCCUGGUAGGAGACAUAUGAGAAUCAACCCAUGAAUACAUAAAUAAAUGCAGCCAAUCAAU